Molecule: ribosomal RNA, 460 nt
Filed under: uncultured bacterium
Lineage: Bacteria
Description: partial 16S ribosomal RNA
Rfam family: Bacterial small subunit ribosomal RNA
Source: RNAcentral
CCUACGGGUGGCAGCAGUGAGGAAUAUUGGUCAAUGGGCGAGAGCCUGAUCCAGCCAAGUCGCGUGAGGGAAGACGGUCCUAUGGAUUGUAAACCUCUUUUGUCGGGGAGCAAAAAGGCCUCGUGAGGCCACAAGUGAGAGUACCCGAAGAAAAAGCAUCGGCUAACUCCGUGCCAGCAGCCGCGGUAAUACGGAGGAUGCGAGCUGUAGCCGGAUUUAUUGGGUUUAAAGGGUGCGUAGGCGGACUGGAAAGCCAGCGGUAAAAGCGGGGGGCUAAACCUCUUUCCGCCGUUGAAACUGUCGGACUUGAGUGGGCGAGAAGUAUGCGGAAUGCGUGGUGUAGCGGUGAAAUGCAUAGAUAUCACGCAGAACACCGAUUGCGAAGGCAGCAUACCGGCGCCCGACUGACGCUGAGGCACGAAAGCGUGGGUAUCGAACAGGAUUAGAUACCCUUGUAGUC